CUUUUUCAUUGUGAACUGCCAUUCUCGUCAUUUUUUGUUUGAUUGUUCUCUCGAGAAAAUAAUUAAACUCUUUCACCGAAUAUCUAAACUUUUAAUCCAGUCUCUAGCCUGUCUUUAUUUUUGUUUCAACAAGGUCUCUUCUUCACAACAAAUUCCUCCCUCGCUGAACAGAAACUUCCAUAACAAACUUGGCGUUGUCGGCAGGAUUUCAAGGAGGGAUCAGAACGGGACUCCGCUGGUGACUGAUGACAGCUAGCACCCAGGGAUCUGAGGAUCACCUGCCUCUAAACCUCGCCAAAACAUCUUUGAGAGACAGAGGGUCAGAACCGCGGAGGGCUCGCUGAUUCCACUCUGAAAUCCAAACGAAAAGGAAGCAAUUUCAAACAGCGGGGUUGUCCAGUGAACAAAGACAGCCUUUCUGGGUUGCCUUCUUAUGUGAUGGUAAGGCCUACACAUUCACACGUUUAGGAUAAGGAUUUUUUAUUGACAGCCCAACUGUCUACAACAAAGCACUGAGAGAGAGCCUUGAAAGAUUAACUAUUACACUAUUGCACUGUUGUGCCACCUGGCAGCAGAAGGGCACAGAGCUAGUUUAGCCAAACUGCAAUUUGUGAAAAAAGAAGUGCAUUUUUUUUUUUUUUUGGGUCAUGACAUUUCAGCGUCAGGGAAAACAUUAUCCUCAUCUCGAAUUGAGAAAUAGUUUUUCUCCCAAAACUUGAAACAAAGAAACUAAUUAUGUCAUUUCUAUGGAUGUGUUCCUAUUGUUGUGUUUUCAUCCCAAAUUAUGCUCAGUUAGUUCAGCCUUCAGCUGACAUAAUACAUGGUAACAACUUGUCUUCAGAUGACCAAGGGGGACUAGGCGUUUGUAAGUCUUAAAAAAGCUUUUCAAAGCCCUCCAACCUUAGGUUUGCCAAACCCUAAACUUCCAUUCACUCAGACAGUGGGUGAACAUUUGGGCUGCAUGACGUUUGUUCUCUUGCAGCCUCACGGUGACAGGCUCUGGCCUGUGGCCUAGUUUUGCUCCAUUAACAUUGUUAGUGCCACAUGUAGUUUCUCUGAUCCUAUUGGAGCAACAAUCUUCACAUUUAUCUGCAGCACGUUAUCUAUGGUUACACACAUGUCUGCUUGAUAUGCCUAAUGUCACUGUUAAACAUUUUACAGUGCUUAACCCUGCUUCUCUUAUGCCUGUGCCAGGAAAGGGAAAGCCGCAUGACUGUUUGGCUGAGUUGCAACACACCUGUGCUCCGCGCCCAGAUCUGACUGACACACCGGUGCCAAACUCAGAUCUGGUUUUGUAUGUGGAUGGGUCAGCCUCACGCUGCCCUGACACCGGACAGGGACAGGUAGGGUUUGCUGUAGUAUCAGAUUCAGAAACCUUAAUUGCUAAACCUCUUC
Long non-coding RNA from Etheostoma spectabile (orangethroat darter), 1395 nucleotides. RefSeq lists it as uncharacterized. The record is from RefSeq and is a predicted model, not a curated record. The transcript has 2 exons. NCBI's taxonomy places the organism in Eukaryota, Metazoa, Chordata, Actinopteri, Perciformes, Percidae.